RNAcentral lists this ribosomal RNA (472 nucleotides) under uncultured Mycobacterium sp. RNAcentral's name for it is "bacterial SSU rRNA". It matches the Rfam family "Bacterial small subunit ribosomal RNA", at positions 387 to 857 of the family's 1533-position model. The record is from RNAcentral. Lineage: Bacteria; Bacillati; Actinomycetota; Actinomycetes; Mycobacteriales; Mycobacteriaceae.
UGCAGCGACGCCGCGUGGGGGAUGACGGCCUUCGGGUUGUAAACCUCUUUCACCAUCGACGAAGGUCCGGGUUUUCUCGGAUUGACGGUAGGUGGAGAAGAAGCACCGGCCAACUACGUGCCAGCAGCCGCGGUAAUACGUAGGGUGCGAGCGUUGUCCGGAAUUACUGGGCGUAAAGAGCUCGUAGGUGGUUUGUCGCGUUGUUCGUGAAAUCUCACGGCUUAACUGUGAGCGUGCGGGCGAUACGGGCAGACUGGAGUACUGCAGGGGAGACUGGAAUUCCUGGUGUAGCGGUGGAAUGCGCAGAUAUCAGGAGGAACACCGGUGGCGAAGGCGGGUCUCUGGGCAGUAACUGACGCUGAGGAGCGAAAGCGUGGGGAGCGAACAGGAUUAGAUACCCUGGUAGUCCACGCCGUAAACGGUGGGUACUAGGUGUGGGUUUCCUUCCUUGGGAUCCGUGCCGUAGCUAACG